Penaeus vannamei (Pacific white shrimp) is the source of this 128-nucleotide non-coding RNA. NCBI's taxonomy places the organism in Eukaryota, Metazoa, Arthropoda, Malacostraca, Decapoda, Penaeidae. The record is from RefSeq and is a predicted model, not a curated record.
UCAGUAUGAAGGUGACACUGAUCCUGGUCCUGGUGGCCGUCGUCGGCCUCUCCUCUGCCUACUCCCUCGGCGAUGUCUACGAGAAGCUCCAUCGUGUCGAGAGGGACAUGAGCUUAGGAAUGAGCGGG